UAGGGAAUCUUCGGCAAUGGGGGGAACCCUGACCGAGCAACGCCGCGUGAGUGAAGAAGGUUUUCGGAUCGUAAAGCUCUGUUGUUAAGGAAGAACGAGUGUGAGAAUGGAAAGUUCAUGCUGUGACGGUACUUAACCAGAAAGGGACGGCUAACUACGUGCCAGCAGCCGCGGUAAUACGUAGGUCCCGAGCGUUGUCCGGAUUUAUUGGGCGUAAAGCGAGCGCAGGCGGUUAGAAAAGUCUGAUGUGAAAGGCAGUGGCUCAACCAUUGUAGGCUUUGGAAACUGUUUAACUUGAGUGCAGAAGGGGAGAGUGGAAUUCCAUGUGUAGCGGUGAAAUGCGUAGAUAUAUGGAGGAACACCGGUGGCGAAAGCGGCUCUCUGGUCUGUAACUGACGCUGAGGCUCGAAAGCGUGGGGAGCGAACAGG
Molecule: ribosomal RNA, 429 nt
Filed under: Verrucomicrobiota bacterium
Lineage: Bacteria; Pseudomonadati; Verrucomicrobiota
Description: Verrucomicrobia bacterium partial 16S ribosomal RNA
Rfam family: Bacterial small subunit ribosomal RNA
Source: RNAcentral